UUGUACUGUUAAUAAGUUAUUUAAAAAAAAAAAAAAAAAAAAAAAAAUACAGACACUGGUUCAUGGGUUCACAAAUAUCAUCGCCCCCUAGCGGCAAACCAUUGAAAUUUCGAGAUAUUUUGAAACAGCUAUGAAAUAACGAAGUCUCGUUUACUAAAAUAACGUGACUUUGGCAGUUUGAUACGUGCCCCUAUUAACUGGUUUGAAACAAAUAUUUCGCAAAGGUUUUGAAGCUUCACGAAGCGUGUUUCAAAAGCGCCCAUCAGGGAAUCACCUGUUUAAAAAAAGUAAAAGAAAAGAAGCAGAACUGAGGAGAGACUCCUGGCAAAAGAACGCGACAGAGCUCGUAAUAAAACGAGAAUCAACUUGGGCUUGCCUUUUCGGAGAUAGUGAGAACUAAGGGAUUUAAAAAUGCUGUAAAAGCGACGCGGAGAUGAUGGCGUUAUUACUUGGUCUCUCUUCUCACAAGAUGAAAGUACUGGAUCAGUUAAGCUGUCACAAAUGAAGACUGACCACCAAAAGGUCAUAUUGGUUUAUCUGGUAACGAGAAAGCAAACAUUGCUGCAAAGGAGGCUCUCAACUUCAAUAUUUCAGAGUGUCAAAUUCCACCCUCUGAUCUCAGACCAGUAAUAAACUCCUAUAUUAAUAGUGUUUGGCAGAUGGAAUGGGAUAAAUGCAAACGAAUUAAGUCCUAGUAUAAGAAGAAUGUUUUUUACUAAUUUCAAAUCUAGGUAUGAUCAAGUUGUUUUUACUAGAUGCCGUUUGAGUCAUACAAGACUUACACAUGGUUAUUUAGAAGAACCACCAUCAAGCCUUCCAUGUCAAACUACAAACAUAUUUUACUGGAGUGCAGUGUUUUUAAUGUAAAUAGACAACGGUUUUAUUCCGAGAUGUGUUUAACUGAUGUAUUUUAGAAAAUAUCACCUGAAUGUAUUUUAGAAUUUCUGUCUUGUAUUCAUAUGAAAUGUCUUAUAUAUAUUUUUUGUUAAUUGUAUGAAUUUUGUUGAUUAUUCUGUU
Ctenopharyngodon idella (grass carp) is the source of this 1017-nucleotide long non-coding RNA. RefSeq lists it as uncharacterized. The transcript is spliced from 3 exons. The record is from RefSeq and is a predicted model, not a curated record. NCBI's taxonomy places the organism in Eukaryota, Metazoa, Chordata, Actinopteri, Cypriniformes, Xenocyprididae.